This 253-nucleotide ribosomal RNA is filed under the name uncultured bacterium. RNAcentral's name for it is "partial 16S ribosomal RNA". It matches the Rfam family "Bacterial small subunit ribosomal RNA", at positions 524 to 776 of the family's 1533-position model. The record is from RNAcentral.
UACGUAGGGGGCUAGCGUUGUCCGGAAUCAUUGGGCGUAAAGAGCGUGUAGGCGGUCCGGUAAGUCCGCUGUGAAAGUCGGGGGCUCAACCCUCGAAUGCCGGUGGAUACUGUCGGGCUAGAGUACGGAAGAGGUGAGUGGAAUUCCUGGUGUAGCGGUGAAAUGCGCAGAUAUCAGGAGGAACACCUAUUGCGAAGGCAGCUCGCUGGGACGUAACUGACGCUGAGACGCGAAAGCGUGGGGAGCAAACAGG